Molecule: long non-coding RNA, 455 nt
Filed under: Hordeum vulgare
Lineage: Eukaryota; Viridiplantae; Streptophyta; Magnoliopsida; Poales; Poaceae
Description: long non-coding RNA (HVUL_LNC002022)
Source: RNAcentral
GACUCCAAUCCUUCCAAAAUCAUACGAAAUUCCUUUGAAUCAAAGGGGACCUAAUAUUCUAUAGGAAUUUUUAGCAUUCACUCAAAUCUCUUGAAAAGAAUCCUAUGUUUAUGCCCAUGCGUUUCUGGAAUCUAGGCCCAAAAAGUGGUUUGGACCUUUUGCUGGCAUGCAAAGCUCUAAUGCUAUAUCAGACUGGAUAUGAGUAAUUGGGCUGAGAGCUUCAACGGUCACUGUGAAAUGGUACUCUGCUGUAUGAAUUAUUGAACCCGGCAACAACGGCUCGCUUCUUGCAAGGGCCUCUUUGAUUUGCAGAAUUCUCGAGACAUAGGAAUAGAAUAUCACAUUCUCUCCUAUCCUACAGGAAUUCAAUUUUGGAUGAAAGAACAUUUGAUAGCACAAAAAAAACAAAGAAAUUAUACCAAGAGGUUUGAGUGGAUGAAAAAUUUCCUCCAAAA